GGUUAAGUUAGAAAGGGCGCACGGUGGAUGCCUUGGCACUAGGAGCCGAUGAAGGACGGGACGAACACCGAUAUGCUUCGGGAGCUGUAAGCAAGCUUUGAUCCGGAGAUUUCCGAAUGGGGAAACCCACCACUCGUAAUGGAGUGGUAUCCAUAUCUGAAUACAUAGGAUAUGAGAAGGCAGACCCGGGGAACUGAAACAUCUAAGUACCCGGAGGAAGAGAAAGCAAAUGCGAUUCCCUGAGUAGCGGCGAGCGAAACGGGAUCAGCCCAAACCAAGAGGCUUGCCUCUUGGGGUUGUAGGACACUCUGUACGGAGUUACAAAGGAACGAGGUAGAUGAAGAGGUCUGGAAAGGCCCGCCAUAGGAGGUAACAGCCCUGUAGUCAAAACUUCGUUCUCUCCUGAGUGGAUCCUGAGUACGGCGGAACACGUGAAAUUCCGUCGGAAUCCGGGAGGACCAUCUCCCAAGGCUAAAUACUCCCUAGUGACCGAUAGUGAACCAGUACCGUGAGGGAAAGGUGAAAAGCACCCCGGAAGGGGAGUGAAAGAGAUCCUGAAACCGUGUGCCUACAAGUAGUCAGAGCCCGUUAACGGGUGAUGGCGUGCCUUUUGUAGAAUGAACCGGCGAGUUACGAUCCCGUGCAAGGUUAAGCAGAAGAUGCGGAGCCGCAGCGAAAGCGAGUCUGAAUAGGGCGAAUUGAGUACGUGGUCGUAGACCCGAAACCAGGUGAUCUACCCAUGUCCAGGGUGAAGUUCAGGUAACACUGAAUGGAGGCCCGAACCCACGCACGUUGAAAAGUGCGGGGAUGAGGUGUGGGUAGGGGUGAAAUGCCAAUCGAACCUGGAGAUAGCUGGUUCUCUCCGAAAUAGCUUUAGGGCUAGCCUCAAGGUAAGAGUCUCGGAGGUAGAGCACUGAUUGGACUAGGGGCCCCUACCGGGUUACCGAAUUCAGUCAAACUCCGAAUGCCGAUGACUUAUCCUUGGGAGUCAGACUGCGAGUGAUAAGAUCCGUAGUCGAAAGGGAAACAGCCCAGACCGCCAGCUAAGGUCCCAAAGUAUACGUUAAGUGGAAAAGGAUGUGGAGUUGCUUAGACAACCAGGAUGUUGGCUUAGAAGCAGCCACCAUUUAAAGAGUGCGUAAUAGCUCACUGGUCGAGUGACUCUGCGCCGAAAAUGUACCGGGGCUAAACGUAUCACCGAAGCUGCGGACUGUUCUUCGAACAGUGGUAGGAGAGCGUUCUAAGGGCUGUGAAGCAAGACCGGAAGGACUUGUGGAGCGCUUAGAAGUGAGAAUGCCGGUAUGAGUAGCGAAAGAGGGGUGAGAAUCCCCUCCACCGAAUGCCUAAGGUUUCCUGAGGAAGGCUCGUCCGCUCAGGGUUAGUCGGGACCUAAGCCGAGGCCGAAAGGCGUAGGCGAUGGACAACAGGUUGAUAUUCCUGUACCACCUCCUCACCAUUUGAGCAAUGGGGGGACGCAGGAGGAUAGGGUAAGCGCGGUAUUGGAUAUCCGCGUCCAAGCAGUUAGGCUGGGAAAUAGGCAAAUCCGUUUCCCGUGAAGGCUGAGCUGUGAUGGCGAGCGAAUUAUAGUAGCGAAGUUCCUGAUUCCACACUGCCAAGAAAAGCCUCUAGCGAGGUGAGAGGUGCCCGUACCGCAAACCGACACAGGUAGGCGAGGAGAGAAUCCUAAGGUGAUCGAGAGAACUCUCGUUAAGGAACUCGGCAAAAUGACCCCGUAACUUCGGGAGAAGGGGUGCUCUGUUAGGGUGCAAGCCCGAGAGAGCCGCAGUGAAUAGGCCCAGGCGACUGUUUAGCAAAAACACAGGUCUCUGCGAAGCCGUAAGGCGAAGUAUAGGGGCUGACGCCUGCCCGGUGCUGGAAGGUUAAGAGGAGCGCUUAGCGUAAGCGAAGGUGCGAAUUGAAGCCCCAGUAAACGGCGGCCGUAACUAUAACGGUCCUAAGGUAGCGAAAUUCCUUGUCGGGUAAGUUCCGACCCGCACGAAAGGCGCAACGAUCUGGGCACUGUCUCAACGAGAGACUCGGUGAAAUUAUAGUACCUGUGAAGAUGCAGGUUACCCGCGACAGGACGGAAAGACCCCGUGGAGCUUUACUGCAGCCUGAUAUUGAAUGUUGGUACAGCUUGUACAGGAUAGGUAGGAGCCUUGGAAACCGGAGCGCCAGCUUCGGUGGAGGCAUCGGUGGGAUACUACCCUGGCUGUAUUGACCUUCUAACCCGCCGCCCUUAUCGGGCGGGGAGACAGUGUCAGGUGGGCAGUUUGACUGGGGCGGUCGCCUCCUAAAAGGUAACGGAGGCGCCCAAAGGUUCCCUCAGAAUGGUUGGAAAUCAUUCGCAGAGUGUAAAGGCACAAGGGAGCUUGACUGCGAGACCUACAAGUCGAGCAGGGACGAAAGUCGGGCUUAGUGAUCCGGUGGUUCCGCAUGGAAGGGCCAUCGCUCAACGGAUAAAAGCUACCCCGGGGAUAACAGGCUUAUCUCCCCCAAGAGUCCACAUCGACGGGGAGGUUUGGCACCUCGAUGUCGGCUCAUCGCAUCCUGGGGCUGUAGUCGGUCCCAAGGGUUGGGCUGUUCGCCCAUUAAAGCGGUACGCGAGCUGGGUUCAGAACGUCGUGAGACAGUUCGGUCCCUAUCCGUCGCGGGCGCAGGAAAUUUGAGAGGAGCUGUCCUUAGUACGAGAGGACCGGGAUGGACGCACCGCUGGUGUACCAGUUGUUCUGCCAAGGGCAUCGCUGGGUAGCUAUGUGCGGACGGGAUAAGUGCUGAAAGCAUCUAAGCAUGAAGCCCCCUCAAGAUGAGAUUUCCCAUUCCGCAAGGAAGUAAGAUCCCUGAAAGAUGAUCAGGUUGAUAGGUCUGAGGUGGAAGUGUGGCGACACAUGGAGCUGACAGAUACUAAUCGAUCGAGGACUUAACCAA
This 2928-nucleotide ribosomal RNA is filed under the name Bacillus velezensis. Its description in RNAcentral is "23S ribosomal RNA". It matches the Rfam family "Bacterial large subunit ribosomal RNA". The record is from RNAcentral. Lineage: Bacteria; Bacillati; Bacillota; Bacilli; Caryophanales; Bacillaceae.